RNAcentral lists this transfer RNA (78 nucleotides) under Streptobacillus moniliformis. Its description in RNAcentral is "tRNA-Arg". It matches the Rfam family "tRNA". From Rfam's summary of the family: Transfer RNA (tRNA) molecules are approximately 80 nucleotides in length. Their secondary structure includes four short double-helical elements and three loops (D, anti-codon, and T loops). Further hydrogen bonds mediate the characteristic L-shaped molecular structure. tRNAs have two regions of fundamental functional importance: the anti-codon, which is responsible for specific mRNA codon recognition, and the 3' end, to which the tRNAs corresponding amino acid is attached (by aminoacyl-tRNA synthetases). tRNAs cope with the degeneracy of the genetic code in two manners: having more than one tRNA (with a specific anti-codon) for a particular amino acid; and 'wobble' base-pairing, i.e. permitting non-standard base-pairing at the 3rd anti-codon position. The record is from RNAcentral. Lineage: Bacteria; Fusobacteriati; Fusobacteriota; Fusobacteriia; Fusobacteriales; Leptotrichiaceae.
GUGCCUGUAGCUCAGUAGGAUAGAGCAACAGCCUUCUAAGCUGUGGAAUUAGGAGUUCGAAUCUCUUCAGGCACGCCA